GACGAACGCUGGCGGCGUGCCUAACACAUGCAAGUCGAACGGAAAGGUCAUGCUUUUGUGCGGUGGUCGUGUGGCGAAGGGGUGAGUAACACGUGAGUAACAUCUACCUGACCGAGGGGUAUCUUUAGGAAACACGGGCUCUUAUCGCAUAGGAUCUAUUGCUGCAUGGUGGGCGCUGGUAAGAUUCGGUGGUUGGGGAUGGACUGGCUGCUUAUCGGCUUGUUGGUGGGGUAGGGGCUGACCAAGGUUAUGAAGGGUAGCAGACCUGGGAGGCCAGCCGGCCACAUUAGGACUGAGAUACGGCGCAGACUCCAACGGGACGCAACGGUGGAGAGUAUUACACAGUAAGCGGGAGCCAGAUGCGGCAACGCCGCGUGCGGGAUGACGGGCUUCGGGUUGUGAACCACUUUGGCCUGAGACGAGGCGUGAGUGACGGUAAUGGGUAAAGAAGCACCGGCUAACUACGUG
Molecule: ribosomal RNA, 468 nt
Filed under: uncultured bacterium
Lineage: Bacteria
Description: partial 16S ribosomal RNA
Rfam family: Bacterial small subunit ribosomal RNA
Source: RNAcentral